CCCUUCUAAACCUCAUAGAGCUCACAAACCAUGAAGUUCGGCAAAGAAUUCGAGUCCCAAAUGAUACCAGAAUGGCAAGAAGCAUACAUGAACUACAACCAUCUCAAAACCCUCCUCAAAAACAUCAUCCGAUUCAAACAAAGACGACCCUCCACAGUCCCAACACCGGACUUGAAACGACGGUUAACUCUCUACCGAGCUUUCAGUGGCCUAACACAGCGAAUGACCUCUCCCAAAACCCCCAACAGCGCCACAGACAUCGAAAGCCAACCCAUAUUGAUAAACUCGGUGAGGCGACAAGAAGGCGAGGAAGAGUACGAGACCAUGUUUUUAAGAUCCGCCGAUGAAGGAGGAGAGUACGAGAUUGUAUAUUUUAGAAGGCUUGAUGAUGAGUUUAAUAAAGUGGUUAAGUUUUAUAGAGAGAAAGUUGAGGAGGUUAUGAAAGAGGCUGCGAUGUUGAAUAAGCAAAUGGAGGCUUUGAUUGCUUUUAGGAUAAAGGUUGAUGGUGGAGAGAGUUGGAUUGUUGAUAGAUCGGUGGAGAUGACUCGUCUUGCUUCCGGUGUUGCAGCUUCGGCGGCGGCUUUAGCGGCUACUACUCCGUCGGGGCCUAGAACUGGCAGAAGAGCUUCCAUGGAUGUAAUACAUGAAGAAAUACAUGAAGAGGGGUCAAACAACCAUGGUCAUGACCUAGAUGAUCAAUAUGCUAGUGAUGAUAAAUUUGUGAAUAAUGAGAUCAAAACCAUCAAGCAAAAUGGCAAAGAACACAAUAAGCUAAAGAACUUGAGGGGUAGUAGACCAACCCCAUUGGAAAUACUUAGUCAUGUGAAGAUGAACAACAAUCCUGAGACUCCUCGUUCCACCAUCAAAAGCUUUCUCAGUGUUCAUGAUUCCAAUGAGAUUAAGUUCAGCAGGGAAAAUCUAAAGAAAGUUGAAUCACAACUUAAGCGGGCUUUCGUUGAGUUUUAUCACAAGCUUCGCCUUCUUAAGAGCUACAGUUUCUUGAAUAUCUUGGCUUUUUCAAAGAUCAUGAAGAAAUAUGACAAGAUAACUUCAAGAAAUGCAUCAAAAGCUUACUUGAAGAUGGUAGACAGCUCCUACCUUGGCAGCUCCGAUGAAGUUACCAAGCUUAUGGAAAGGGUUGAAACCACAUUCAUCAAGCAUUUUUCUAAUUCAAACCGACGUAAAGGGUUGAACAUCUUGAGACCACAAGCAAAGAGAGAAAGGCAUAGAGUAACAUUCACCUUAGGCUUUCUAUGUGGCUGCACAGUUGCUUUCUUAUUUGCACUUGUUUUGGUUACGCAUGCUCGCAAUAUCGUAAACCAUGAGCGCAAGUACCAGUACAUGGAAACCAUGUUUCCCCUUUAUAGCUUGUUUGGAUUCAUUGCACUUCACCUGCUCAUGUAUGCUGCAAAUAUAUACUUUUGGAAGAGAUACAGAGUGAAUUAUCCAUUUAUAUUUGGUUUCAAAGAAGGAACUGAAUUGGGAUGCAAAGAUGUUCUUCUCCUCAGCUUUGGUGUUGCAGUGUUUGCAAUAGCAGGUGCACUUGCAAACCUUGCUAUGGAAAUGGAUCCUAAAACUCAACGUUUCAAAGAAUUCACUGAACUUGUACCUCAGGCACUUUUAGGGCUCUUCAUUGCCAUGUUGUUCUGCCCGUUUAAUAUCAUUUUCCGAUCAAAUCGCUUCUUUUUUCUUCGUUGUAUGUUUCACUGUAUUUGCGCUCCUCUGUACAAGGUGACACUUCCUGAUUUUUUCUUAGCGGACCAAUUAACAAGCCAGGUGCAAGGAUUUAGAAGUCUGGAAUUCUACAUUUGCUACUAUGGUUGGGGAGACUAUAAGAACAGAGAAAAUACUUGCAAAACAAAUAAUCUCUACAACACACUUUAUUUCAUUAUUGCUGCAAUUCCCUACUGGUCUCGUUUUCUUCAGUGCCUUCGUCGCCUGUACGACGAGAGAGAUGGUAUGCAAGGAAUCAAUGCAUUGAAAUAUUUCUCAACCAUAAUAGCUGUGACUAUGAGGACAGCUUAUGAUCUCAAACAAGGGAUUGGUUGGAAGGCUAUAGCUUUCAUUUCCUCACUGAUUGCAGCAAUCUUUGGUACCUAUUGGGACCUUGUCAUAGAUUGGGGCCUUCUUCAGAAGAAUUCUAAGAACCGUUGGUUGAGAGACAAGCUCCUAGUUCCACACAAAAGUGUCUAUUUUGUAGCCAUGAUUUUGAAUGUCUUGUUGAGAUUUGCCUGGCUACAAACAGUCUUGAAAUUUUUUUACUCACACAAACCAACCCUAAGUGUACUUAUAGCCUCCCUAGAGAUUUUUCGACGUGGCAUGUGGAGUUUCUUCAGGUUGGAGAAUGAACAUUUGAAUAAUGUAGGCAAGUAUCGUGCAUUCAAGACAGUACCUUUGCCUUUCAACUAUGAUGAAGAGGAGGACAAAAAUAAUUGAAAUUUCACACCAAUGUACAAAAGGAAGGGUAAAAUUUAUCUAAGAUCCCUAAAUUUCACAGGUCUCAAAUAGCAAUCCAAUGGGUGGAGAAUUUAUAACAAGAAAAUGUACAUCCAUACAACCGUUUUUUCUUUUAUCAGCGACAAGAAAUUUUAUUCAAGUGUUGUGAUUUUAUAUUGGUUAGAAGUACUACAUUGGCAAUAUCACACGGUGCUAUGAGGGUUGUGAUCUUCCAUUGUAAUAUAAAAUUUCAUUCAAACUUUCUAAAUUUUUGCCA
Molecule: non-coding RNA, 2713 nt
Organism: Camellia sinensis
Lineage: Eukaryota; Viridiplantae; Streptophyta; Magnoliopsida; Ericales; Theaceae
Source: RefSeq, a predicted model, not a curated record